CCUACGGGGCGCAGCAGUGGGGGAUAUUGCACAAUGGGGGCAAGCCUGACCCAGCAACGCCGCGUGAAGGAAGAAGGCUUUCGGGUUGUAAACUUCUUUUCUCAGGGACGAAGCAAGUGACGGUACCUGCGGAAUAAGCCACGGCUAACUACGUGCCAGCAGCCGCGGUAAUACGUAGGUGGCAAGCGUUAUCCGGAUUUACUGGGUGUAAAGGGCGUGUAGGCGGGAAAGCAAGUCAGAUGUGAAAACCAUGGGCUCAACCUGUGGCCUGCAUUUGAAACUGUUUUUCUUGAGUACUGGAGAGGCAGACGGAAUUCCUAGUGUAGCGGUGAAAUGCGUAGAUAUUAGGAGGAACACCAGUGGCGAAGGCGGUCUGCUGGACAGCAACUGACGCUGAGGCGCGAAAGCGUGGGGAGCAAACAGGAUUAGAUACCCCAGUAGUC
This 443-nucleotide ribosomal RNA is filed under the name uncultured bacterium. Its description in RNAcentral is "partial 16S ribosomal RNA". It matches the Rfam family "Bacterial small subunit ribosomal RNA", at positions 338 to 795 of the family's 1533-position model. The record is from RNAcentral.